Molecule: unclassified non-coding RNA, 602 nt
Filed under: Hevea brasiliensis (rubber tree)
Lineage: Eukaryota; Viridiplantae; Streptophyta; Magnoliopsida; Malpighiales; Euphorbiaceae
Source: RNAcentral
CGGAGCUCCUCUCGCUGCCGCCGCCGGCGGCGGUCCAUUCCCUCCUCGCGGUGGCGAAACUCGACCGGACCGGGCUCUUUAGCUCCGGCCGGUCGAGCCAAACCUCAUGGUGGUCCCCUCUCCCUCUCUCUCCACCGUUUUCUUCACCAACCCGCUCAACUCCGCCGACAUCCGGCAACCGUCUCUGCCAAAAGCUGCUCAAUCUCACCUUCCCCGGUCCCCCUCGCAGCGAGAGGCUCCAUGUGACCUCGAAUCACUCUCCUCUUUGCUUAAUUGAUGAAAAAUUGGAAGAGAUUAUGGCUAAUUGAGAUUUCAUUAUUUGCAGGAUUUGGGUCUCGUGCGCUGCGCGUGCCGGAGCGGCUGAGCACGCCUAUAAAGCUGAGGAAGAGCAAGGAAAUUGGGGCGACUCUCGGGGAAGGACAAGCCGAGCCAAGCUCAAGGCAAUUCCGAUUUUGAGAAUCCUUUCGCCGAAGGAGUUCGCCGGAGAUUUAAUGAAAAGAGCAAUGGAAGUUUUUGAUUAAUUUUUAUGUAGCAAUUGUGUUGAUUUGAUGAAGUUUUUUUUUUAUUCGGUUUAUAGUUUCUAUGUAUAAAAUUCAGACGAG